Molecule: ribosomal RNA, 184 nt
Filed under: uncultured bacterium
Lineage: Bacteria
Description: partial 16S ribosomal RNA
Rfam family: Bacterial small subunit ribosomal RNA
Source: RNAcentral
CAUGAAGUCGGAAUUGCUAGUAAUCGCGGAUCAGCAUGCCGCGGUGAAUACGUUCCCGGGCCUUGUACACACCGCCCGUCACACCAUGGGAGCCGGUAACACCCGAAGUCAGUAGCCUGACCAAUUCUGGAGGGCGCUGCCGAAGGUGGGAUUGGUGACUGGGGUGAAGUCGUAACAAGGUAAC